This 497-nucleotide ribosomal RNA is filed under the name uncultured bacterium. Its description in RNAcentral is "bacterial SSU rRNA". It matches the Rfam family "Bacterial small subunit ribosomal RNA", at positions 15 to 507 of the family's 1533-position model. The record is from RNAcentral.
GAUCCUGGCUCAGAUUGAACGCUGGCGGAAUGCUUUACACAUGCAAGUCGAGCGGCAGCGCGGGGGCAACCCUGGCGGCGAGCGGCGAACGGGUGAGUAACAUAUCGGAACGUACCCAGUCGUGGGGGAUAACUAUCCGAAAGGAUAGCUAAUACCGCAUACGUCCUGAGGGAGAAAGCGGGGGAUCGCAAGACCUCGCGCGAUUGGAGCGGCCGAUAUCGGAUUAGCUAGUUGGUGGGGUAAAGGCUCACCAAGGCGACGAUCCGUAGCGGGUCUGAGAGGACGACCCGCCACACUGGAACUGAGACACGGUCCAGACUCCUACGGGAGGCAGCAGUGGGGAAUAUUGGACAAUGGGCGAAAGCCUGAUCCAGCAAUGCCGCGUGUGUGAAGAAGGCCUGAGGGUUGUAAAGCACUUUCAAUCGUGAAGAAAAGUUGCAGGCUAAUACCCUGUGACCUUGACGUUAACGAUACAAGAAGCACCGGCUAACUCCGUG